This 253-nucleotide ribosomal RNA is filed under the name uncultured bacterium. RNAcentral describes it as "partial 16S ribosomal RNA". It matches the Rfam family "Bacterial small subunit ribosomal RNA", at positions 524 to 776 of the family's 1533-position model. The record is from RNAcentral.
UACGAAGGGGGCUAGCGUUGCUCGGAAUCACUGGGCGUAAAGGGUGCGUAGGCGGGUCUUUAAGUCAGAGGUGAAAUCCUGGAGCUCAACUCCAGAACUGCCUUUGAUACUGAAGAGCUUGAGUCCGGGAGAGGUGAGUGGAACUGCGAGUGUAGAGGUGAAAUUCGUAGAUAUUCGCAAGAACACCAGUGGCGAAGGCGGCUCACUGGCCCGGUACUGACGCUGAGGUGCGAAAGCGUGGGGAGCAAACAGG